Octopus sinensis (East Asian common octopus) is the source of this 169-nucleotide long non-coding RNA. RefSeq lists it as uncharacterized. Lineage: Eukaryota; Metazoa; Mollusca; Cephalopoda; Octopoda; Octopodidae. The transcript is spliced from 3 exons. The record is from RefSeq and is a predicted model, not a curated record.
AGACACCGAAGAUAUUUUCCCACUUUUCUUGACAUGAAACCAAUGGUAGCCUUAAUUUAUAAAUAAAGAAAUUAUAUCCACCUAUGCGGUGUUCAGCACUCAUUUCCAUCGUUCAACAUUUACGUGUAUAUGUUAUAUAUAUAUAUAUAUCAAUACACACACACACACA